This is an RNA transcript of Ziziphus jujuba (common jujube), 2110 nucleotides long. It is a transcript of the gene named 1-aminocyclopropane-1-carboxylate oxidase homolog 4-like, with no coding region annotated. Lineage: Eukaryota; Viridiplantae; Streptophyta; Magnoliopsida; Rosales; Rhamnaceae. The transcript has 5 exons. The record is from RefSeq and is a predicted model, not a curated record.
AACUUUUGAGAUGAAGCCCAACGAGUUACACAUUGAGAACUCCAGCGUAACAGAUAAAAAAGUCAACGCAACGACUUUCAAUAUCACACUUCAGUAGAUUAGUUGAUCUUUGAUCGGCUUCUGCUUCCAUGUUUUUUCGUUUCUCAGAGAGACAAAAGAAAAUGAUGAGAAUGGCCAUAAUUCCCACCAACGAAGACUACGACAGAGAAAAAGAGAUUAAACAAUUUGACGAAUCAAAAACUGGAGUCAAAGGCCUCGUUGACUCCGGACUCACCUCCAUUCCUCGCUUCUUCAUACAACCAGCGGAAACCCUAUCCGACCUCAAGCCCCCCGUACCCAUCUUAUCUUCUACCCGACCAGAAUCCAACCACCCAAUCCCAAUCAUCGACCUCUCCGGAAGCAAUAACUACGACCGCCGGUCCACCAUCGUCGACCAAAUCAGACGCGCCGCACGUGAAUUCGGGUUCUUCCAGAUCACCAACCACGGAAUCCCAUUGGAGACUCUGGACCGUACGAUCGCCGCCAUCAAAGGAUUUCACGAGCAACCGACGGAGACGAAAGUGCGGUUCUACCGUAGAGAGAUGGGCAUUGAUGUAUCGUACAUCUCCAACGUUGACCUGCACCGUUCCAAGGCGGCGAGCUGGAGGGACACGCUUACGGUGAUACUGGGGCCCAAAGUACUGGAGCCGGAAAAGCUGCCGGAGAUUUGCAGGGACGAGGUGGUGAGUUGGGAUAGGGAAGUGGUGAAGGUGGGAGAGUUGCUGAUGGGUUUAUUGAGCGAAGGGCUGGGAUUGAGUACAGGAAGAUUGAAGGAGAUGACGUGCUUGGAAGGAAGGGUGAUGGUGGGUCAAUAUUAUCCCCACUGCCCUCAGCCUGAUCUGACGGUCGGGCUUACUUCUCAUACUGAUCCCGCAAUUCUGACGGUUCUGAUGCAAGAUCAAACAGGUGGGUUGCAAAUUAAGUCUGGUGGAGCUUGGAUCGAUGUAGAACCAGUCCCCGGAGCUCUUGUUAUUAAUGUUGGAGAUUUCCUUCAGUUCAAACUGAAUGAAAAGCUCUCCACCCAACAUCUCCAAGGUUGACUGUGAUCUCAAGUAAGGCAACGGUGUCAAUUAUCAUAGGCAGCAGUGACGACGACGAUUACAUAGACCAUUAGGAGCCCUCUCCAGACCAUUAGGAGCCCUCUGUUUCCUUUUGCAUCGGCCGGAUUGUAAGUGUGGAGACUGUGCAUUUUGAAGGAGAUGGUGAAGAGGCGACUCAGAGAGAAACCUGCAGGGUUUUAGAGAGCCCUAGGAGCAGAAGUAGAAGCAACAGGUAGGCAACAGCGAAGUAGGAAAGCAUGAGGCUCAUUCGAUCAAUCACUGGCAUUUCUUGCUGAGAGAUAUGUAUGAUGAUAUGAUGCUGGAUGGAGUACAGCCAACUAGGGAUACAUUCCAUUCUGUCAUCGUUGGAACCAUGAAAAGCUCUUGCUUGCAGGAUGCUUUCUACUUUUCUGACCAAAUGAAAUCCAUGGGUUUGGUCCCUGAUGUAUGUAUUUGUAUAUAUAUGCUUCUUCUUCUUUUUUCGUUUUUGUUUUUUUUCACAUGGAUCUGCAUUAAUUUUUAUCUGCUGAAUAUUAGAUUCUUUCAAGAUUGGAAAUUUUGUAUAAAGUUACUUUGUGUUUUUUUUUCUUUUUUUUUUUUUUUACCUAGCUAUUACAAUGUAUUGCUUUAUGUUAUAGGUUACUUUAUACAACAGUUUAGUUUCUUGAUGUAGUGCAGAUGAACUCUGUCACUGUUGACUCGAGGCCAAAGUGCUUGGUUGGCAUUAUUUUUUAUGGUUACCCUUCUUAUUCGAGAAUGUAUGCAGAAGAAACAAGUUACUACUUUUUUCUCUAGGUGAUUGAUGAAAUAGAUGGAGCUCUUGGUGAUGGCAAAGGUGCUAUGGAGGUUAUUCUAAAGAUGGGUUCAUAUAUUUGUUCAACCAACAGUUAAUUGUGUUGUCAGCAGGUGAUCCUUGACUACCAUGGCUGAUGUUUAAUUGCUGUGACAAUUUCAAGCCUUUCCAUUUCUGAUGGGGAACAUUGGGUCAAGUCGGGAUUGAUACCAACAGAGGCUUUUGUAGGAGCUGUAAU